This is a non-coding RNA of Salvia hispanica, 632 nucleotides long. NCBI's taxonomy places the organism in Eukaryota, Viridiplantae, Streptophyta, Magnoliopsida, Lamiales, Lamiaceae. The record is from RefSeq and is a predicted model, not a curated record.
AUAGAGACGAGUCUGCCAAGUCCAAGGAAACUACUCCUCUUAGUCUCACAAUUUCACAAUUCAAUAUCGUGUUUUGAGGUUAUCUCCGCAAGUUAAGGUCGGAACGAGAAAAUCAAGUUAAGGAAAUUAAACGAACGAGCCUAUUUGUUUGGUUGGAACGUAAGAAUCGAAUUCGGGUCCGAGUGAGGGUGGUGUCCCUACUCGGAUUAGUGUACACAGGUGACCGUUGGAAGGUGGCCACCUUCCACGGCACAAAGAUGAUAUAGUGGAGGCCGUUGGGAGGUGGCCACCUCCCCGGCUGGAGAAAGAUGUAGGUGACCGUGGGAGAGCACCAUCUCCAUGGCACUUGGUGUUCAGAUAUGGCAGAAGUACAAAAAGAACUUAGACUGAUCAGUCGAACUUUAGCUCACAAAGAAUUUAGUUGAGCAGUGACGGUGGAGAAUGCUGAGCAGAGUUAUGAUUUUCCUUUUAUUUUAAGUAGAGGCUCUCGGCGGUGCAUGUCCUCAUACAUGUGACCGUGUUCGUUCUGCUGCGUACUAAGGUUCUAGAUGACAUCGACUGUUACUCUGAUAAUUAUUUAUUAAAAUGUAAGAUUUUUAUUCAAGUUCUGGUGAUUAAAAGUUGGUUUGAAA